AGUAAAACUUAAUUUGUGAAACAAAUUACAGAAACUGUCACAGAAAGUGGACCAGCAGCAACAACCCCCUCAUUCUCCUCCGAUGCAGACUUGAGACAAGAUAAAAUCGAGAUUUGCUUGUUCUUCCUUGAAGGCAACUGUAUCCACCCCAUAAAAAAAUGUUUCGGAGCUCAUUGCAGGCUGCCUUACAGCUGGGAAGUUCUGGAGGGCCAUCAGUGGACGCUGCUGGAUAGCUCAGAGAAGAUAGAAGAGGAUUACUGUGACCCC
Molecule: long non-coding RNA, 267 nt
Organism: Gadus morhua (Atlantic cod)
Lineage: Eukaryota; Metazoa; Chordata; Actinopteri; Gadiformes; Gadidae
Exons: 3
Source: RefSeq, a predicted model, not a curated record